This 320-nucleotide long non-coding RNA is filed under the name Ictidomys tridecemlineatus (thirteen-lined ground squirrel). RNAcentral describes it as "lncRNA (ENSSTOG00000033986.1)". The record is from RNAcentral. Lineage: Eukaryota; Metazoa; Chordata; Mammalia; Rodentia; Sciuridae.
AUUCUCAUGAGCGAAGUUUUGGUCACUUGUUGUCGAAUGCUGCAGUUUUGAUUUUUCAAUGUUCUUUGUUUCUUUGCCAUUUAAAAACCAAGCCAUUGAUGAGUGGCUCAGAUAUUUCUUCCCCCCUGGUAGAGAAGGCCUGGUGAUUUCUGUGUGGCCUUUGCUCUUCACAAAUCAGGGCCUGGUUGGAAACAUUGAGAGGCGACAGCUCAGGAGCUUAAGAUUCUGGAUGGAGUGAAGCGUGCCAGAGAAUUUGCUCAUUGGUGAAAGAAGCCAGUUUGAGAAACCAUAGACCAGGUACCAUUGGAUGAGAACCUUAA